GUCCAGGGAUGGGAAUCGAACCCACAGUGUUCCGCUUACCGGGCAGAUGCCAUGUCCAGUAGGCUACCCUGGA
RNAcentral lists this transfer RNA (73 nucleotides) under Cordylochernes scorpioides. RNAcentral describes it as "tRNA-Thr". The record is from RNAcentral. Lineage: Eukaryota; Metazoa; Arthropoda; Arachnida; Pseudoscorpiones; Chernetidae.